UAGGGAAUCUUCGGCAAUGGGGGCAACCCUGACCGAGCAACGCCGCGUGAGUGAAGAAGGUUUUCGGAUUGUAAAGCUCUGUUGUAAGAGAAGAACGUGUGUGAGAGUGGAAAGUUCACACAGUGACGGUAACUUACCAGAAAGGGACGGCUAACUACGUGCCAGCAGCCGCGGUAAUACGUAGGUCCCGAGCGUUGUCCGGAUUUAUUGGGCGUAAAGCGAGCGCAGGCGGUUUAAUAAGUCUGAAGUUAAAGGCAGUGGCUUAACCAUUGUUCGCUUUGGAAACUGUUAAACUUGAGUGCAGAAGGGGAGAGUGGAAUUCCAUGUGUAGCGGUGAAAUGCGUAGAUAUAUGGAGGAACACCGGUGGCGAAAGCGGCUCUCUGGUCUGUAACUGACGCUGAGGCUCGAAAGCGUGGGGAGCAAACAGG
This 429-nucleotide ribosomal RNA is filed under the name bacterium. RNAcentral describes it as "partial 16S ribosomal RNA". It matches the Rfam family "Bacterial small subunit ribosomal RNA", at positions 355 to 776 of the family's 1533-position model. The record is from RNAcentral.